The sequence is a transfer RNA, 111 nucleotides long. It matches the Rfam family "tRNA". From Rfam's summary of the family: Transfer RNA (tRNA) molecules are approximately 80 nucleotides in length. Their secondary structure includes four short double-helical elements and three loops (D, anti-codon, and T loops). The record is from Rfam.
GGUCCGCUGGCGUAAUGGCAGCGCGUCUGACUACGACCCCAUACUCUGAUAUCCAAGAUAUUCAGAUGGGAGUUGAUCAGGAGGUUCCAGGUUCGACCCCUGGGCGGAUCG